GGAUCAUUAAUUAUGUUAAAGCGCCUUACCUUAGGGUUUCCUCUGGGGUAAGUGAUUGCUUCUACACUGUGAAAAUUUGGCUGAGAGACUCAGACUGGUCAUGGGUAGACCUAUCUGGGGUUUGAUCGAUGCCACUCCUGGUUUCAGGAGCACCCUUCAUAAUAAACCUAGAAAUUCAGUAUUAUAAAGUUUAAUAAAAAACAACUUUUAACAAUGGAUCUCUUGGUUCUCGCAUCGAUGAAGAACGUAGCAAAGUGCGAUAACUAGUGUGAAUUGCAUAUUCAGUGAAUCAUCGAGUCUUUGAACGCAGCUUGCACUCUAUGGUUUUUCUAUAGAGUACGCCUGCUUCAGUAUCAUCACAAACCCACACAUAACAUUUGUUUAUGUGGUAAUGGGUCGCAUCGCUGUUUUAUUACAGUGAGCACCUAAAAUGUGUGUGAUUUUCUGUCUGGCUUGCUAGGCAGGAAUAUUACGCUGGUCUCAGGAUCUUUUUCUUUGGUUCGCCCAGGAAGUAAAGUACAAGAGUAUAAUCCAGCAACUUUCAAACUAUGAUCUGAAGUCAGGUGGGAUUACCCGCUGAACUUAAGCAUAU
RNAcentral lists this ribosomal RNA (592 nucleotides) under Rhizopus delemar. RNAcentral's name for it is "eukaryotic LSU rRNA". The stretch from base 203 to 356 matches the Rfam family "5.8S ribosomal RNA". Lineage: Eukaryota; Fungi; Mucoromycota; Mucoromycetes; Mucorales; Rhizopodaceae. The record is from RNAcentral.